GCGGAAAUGGCGAAACUGGCAGACGCACCAGACUUAGGAUCUGGCGCCGAAAGGCAUGGAGGUUCAAGUCCUCUUUUCCGCACCA
RNAcentral lists this transfer RNA (85 nucleotides) under Helicobacter sp. RNAcentral's name for it is "tRNA-Leu". It matches the Rfam family "tRNA". Rfam says of the family: Transfer RNA (tRNA) molecules are approximately 80 nucleotides in length. Their secondary structure includes four short double-helical elements and three loops (D, anti-codon, and T loops). The record is from RNAcentral. Lineage: Bacteria; Pseudomonadati; Campylobacterota; Epsilonproteobacteria; Campylobacterales; Helicobacteraceae.